This 460-nucleotide ribosomal RNA is filed under the name uncultured bacterium. Its description in RNAcentral is "partial 16S ribosomal RNA". It matches the Rfam family "Bacterial small subunit ribosomal RNA", at positions 338 to 795 of the family's 1533-position model. The record is from RNAcentral.
CCUACGGGAGGCAGCAGUGAGGAAUAUUGGUCAAUGGUCGCGAGACUGAACCAGCCAAGUAGCGUGCAGGAUGACUGCCCUACGGGUUGUAAACUGCUUUUAUACGGGGAUAAAAUGCGUCACGUGUGCCUUUUUGUAUGUACUUUAUGAAUAAGGAUCGGCUAACUCCGUGCCAGCAGCCGCGGUAAUACGGAGGGUCCGAGCGUUAUCCGGAUUUAUUGGGUUUAAAGGGAGCGUAGGUGGGUUGUUAAGUGGGUCGUGAAAUGUCGUGGCUCAACCAUAGAAUUGCGAUGGAAACUGGCUGGCUUGAGUGCAGGGAAGGUAGGCGGAAUUCGUGGUGUAGCGGUGAAAUGCUUAGAUAUCACGAAGAACUCCGAUUGCGAAGGCAGCUUACUGCAGUGCUACUGACGCUGAUGCUCGAAGGUGUGGGUAUCAAACAGGAUUAGAUACCCUAGUAGUC